RNAcentral lists this long non-coding RNA (1746 nucleotides) under Sinocyclocheilus grahami. RNAcentral describes it as "lncRNA (ENSSGRG00000015727.1)". The record is from RNAcentral. Lineage: Eukaryota; Metazoa; Chordata; Actinopteri; Cypriniformes; Cyprinidae.
CUCUUAAGCAUGCCGGACAGUGGAUGUAGAAAAGAGGGAGGGGUGAGGAAUGAGAGAGAGAGAAGAGGAGUGGAAAUGAGGGGGUGGUUUGAGCUUCAUCAGAAGUUGAGCUGGAAGAGGAAGCCGCCAAUGUGGGGAAAUAAACAGAGUCUGAAGUGGCUUAACCAGCCUUCAGCGUGGGAACCACAUAUAACUGAUGGCAGAGUGUGGAGGAUAGCUGUGUGCUGGUUCUGAAUGAUACCUUUGGGCUAAAGCGGGAAACUGUGGACAUAUCUCUCCAUCUGCUUCCCUGUGACAUCAAAGGAAAAGCCUUGGAUUCUACGGCCUAUAUAUAAAACCUGCAGGAAGACGUGUUAUUCUGGCUCUCUUCCUGUAACCUAAGGCUGAUCUUGAGCACUCUUUUUCUCAUUCUCUCUCACUUUGUGUUGCUUUAUUAUCUCUGGUCUCUGCUGAAGUGGACCCUCUGAUGACUAAAUGCAGUCAUUUUUGUGGUCCUGUGGGCCUUUCAUGUUAUUUAGACAUGGGAUGGUCCUAUGGACUUUUACAGGACAUCUAGAAGUUAAAGGGAAAGCUCACCUAAAAAUGAAAUCUAUGUCGUCAUUUAUUCACCCUUAUUUAAGAAAGUUCGGUUUGAUAUGACAUGGGUAAACAAUGACACAAUACUCACUUUUAGCUGAAUGGUUCUUUGAAUUUUAACCUCAACAAACUAAAUUUCCAGAAAUAUUGCAAACAGAUGCAAUCUGUUUCUAAAUUAACUUCUGCUUCCACCCACACAGGACCACAAGUUAAUUAGAUCACACUGUUUGCCAUUCUUUAGCGGUAUAUGAAACCACUUGUUUGCUAAUGACCUAGACCAGUGAUGGGCAAACUUGGCCCUUCCAGGCCACUUUCCUGCAGAGAUUUGAUCCAACCCUGAUAUAACUCACCUGCCUGUAGCCUUCUAGUAGUCUUGAAGACAAUGAUUAGUUGGUUCAGGUGUGUUUGAUUAGGGUUGGAGCUAACCUCUGAAGGAAAGUGGCCUGGAAGUGCCAAGUUUGCCCACCCCUGACCUAGACAAAUAGAGGAAUAUCUUUGACGGGGUGUUAAAGAGUUCCAAGCUCAUGACAGUUAGAAAGUGUGGGUUGUGUUUGUGAGAGCACAGGUGAUGGACCAUCACUGACGUGACACUACUAGAGCGUAAUUUGGUCGGUUCCAAUUAGCUUAGCAUGCCAUGCUCUACUGAAUACUGACAGUCCACUUCGCUUGCUUUAUUGACACCGUGGCCUUUGCUUUCAUCAGUGUUUGUGAGAGCUAUUUGGAGGUAUAGAUUGGACCUCACUAGAAUGUGUUUCCUACUGAUGCGUUCAAAAUUCAAUAGGAAGGUUAUGACAAUAAGCUCUGUUAAUGUUUUAAAUUUUACCUUCAUGUUUUUCAUUAGCAGCUGUUGUCUAACUUAAUUGCCUUAAAAGUGUUUAUGAAGGUCAAAAUUCCAAAUAAAUUUUUUUUUUUUUGGGACACACACACACACAAUAAUAUGUGUCUAAUUAAUUGUCUUUUCCAGAGUUUCAGAAGAGAUCUCAGUGUCUCACAUUGUGCUCAGAUACAACUUAAUUGCCUUAAAAGUGUUUAUGAAGGUCAAAAUUCCAAAUAAAUUUUUUUUUUUUGGGACACACACACACACAAUAAUAUGUGUCUAAUUAAUUGUCUUUUCCAGAGUUUCAGAAGAGAUCUCAGUGUCUCACAUUGUGCUCAGAUACAACUUAAUUG